UACGUAGGGUGCAAGCGUUAAUCGGAAUUACUGGGCGUAAAGCGUGCGCAGGCGGUUUUGUAAGAUAGAGGUGAAAUCCCCAGGCUCAACCUGGGAACUGCCUUUGUGACUGCAAGGCUAGAGUACGGCAGAGGGGAGUGGAAUUCCGCGUGUAGCAGUGAAAUGCGUAGAUAUGCGGAGGAACACCGGUGGCGAAGGCAACCCCCUGGGCCUGUACUGACGCUCAUGCACGAAAGCGUGGGGAGCAAACAGG
RNAcentral lists this ribosomal RNA (253 nucleotides) under uncultured Comamonadaceae bacterium. Its description in RNAcentral is "partial 16S ribosomal RNA". It matches the Rfam family "Bacterial small subunit ribosomal RNA", at positions 524 to 776 of the family's 1533-position model. The record is from RNAcentral. Lineage: Bacteria; Pseudomonadati; Pseudomonadota; Betaproteobacteria; Burkholderiales; Comamonadaceae.